Long non-coding RNA from Manis pentadactyla (Chinese pangolin), 2693 nucleotides. RefSeq lists it as uncharacterized. The record is from RefSeq and is a predicted model, not a curated record. Lineage: Eukaryota; Metazoa; Chordata; Mammalia; Pholidota; Manidae. The transcript is spliced from 5 exons.
AGCCCGCUCCGCGUGCUCCGCCCCAUUCCCAAAGUCCCUGCUGCCGAUAGCCCCUGCCCUAAAACUGCUCCAGCCGCCCCUCCUGGGAUUGCCAUCCCCUCGGCGCGGACAGGUGAGGGUGAUGCAGACCCCCGCUGCGCUCCUCGCCCGCCGCGCUCCCCUCUCUCCAGCAGGUCACUGCCGGGGAAGGUGCCCGCGGGAACCCGGAGCGAUUCUCCCGCAUCGGCGACUGGGAAGCGGAUUCUGGAUUUCGACCAGUGCUGCUCCAUGUGCUUAAUAUGCAUUACCUCAUUUCAUCCUCAGAGCAAAGCUGUGGGCCCCCCAACAUGCCUGGACUGCCUGCUCCCACCUACCUACCUACCUCCCCAUCCCCACAGAGUAACAAGUUUCCAGGGAAGGGCAAAAGAAAAUUCAGCAGGACUACUCUCUCCUUCCUCCUGCCCCGGCCCAUGCAGUUUGGCAAGCUCAGGCUUCUUGCUAUCCCAGGAUAGCAGCUGUAAGAGGGCAGGGAAGCCAGACCUGGCCCCCUGCAAAUCACUGGGCCCUAGAAGAGAAGGGCAGAUCCACUCGCUGUUCCUGGUUGAUAAAAGAGCAGAAACUGAAGACACUGAGUUCUUGGCCACCUAGAGGUAAAAGGAAAAUGAUACUAGAAGGAAAGUCUGAGAUUCAAGAAGGAAUGGUGAGCAAAGAAAAUGGUAAACAUCUCCAGAAUUGUAUACUAACUGCCCAGAGCACAUCUGCCAGAGGAUGUCCCUCAGGACCUCACAUUCCAUGGCUUCAAACCCCGCUCGCUCUCCGUGACUACCAACACACUGCUCCUCUCCUGUAUUCCUGAGUUUUGGAUGUCAUGCUUGAGAGAAACGUGGAAGUCGGCUCACCUCUCCCUAACUCCUGCUCCCCACACUCAGUAGCUUAUCAGAACCUUCCCAUCUUGUCUUACUCCCCGCUCCCCUCACGGAGCGGAGGUUGGCUGGCGCCGCCCUCUGCUGGUGACUUUAGGAACUACAAUUCCUUAGAGCUGCUGGGCUCCCAAGCGUCGAGGGCCGCAACAGGGCUUUUUUCCCUCGGGUCUCCACCGAGUAAGAUUGCUUUGCCCCAGGCAGCAAGGCGGCCCCCAGGGCGGUCUACGAGCAGUGAGAAAACCGGCCAUCCCCUCCUCCCCCAGGCCCUAGCCAUAUUCACUGGCCCCACAGCUCUGCGAUGCACACCGCCCCUCCGCCCCUUCCCCUCGUUGGUCCUCCUCUCCUAGCUCACAGCCCGGGAUGGGUGGUAGCACAGCGAAUGCGGGGUCAGGGUGCCUCCCGGAGGCAGGAGCCUCCGUACAUCUCCCUUGGGCUCAGCCGGUCUGUGCUAAGAGAAGGCUGAACAUUCAGCCUGCUGGACCAGACUCAGCUCGAAUGGACCUCAUCUUGCCUUAAUGUGUAUAGUAACAGGUGACCCCUUCUGUUGCAGUCCUGAGUACCUACGGCUUCAUAGGUGCCUCUACCCUAGUAUGGAGGGUGGGGCCUGGGGAGGUGGGAGGGGAAGCCCUGUGCCAGGUCCCACCUCUUGGUGCCCUAAGAGCAGGCUGGAUUUCAUUCUCCAGUAGCAUCUAAUUAAGGUGUCCUGGGCUCACAGCUCUACUGCCCCUGAGAUGUUCCUUAGUCUAAUGGAGUAACAGACAAACAGAAGAUAGUGGGGGCCGGUAAACAGGUUUUAGUGUCAUUCAGAAGGUGGAAUCAGCUGGACUUGGUGGUUGAUUAAACUCAUUAAAUUAACAUUAACUGAAUGCUUCUGAGUGCUGGGCAUUGUGUGGAGUCUUUGGAAGACAGGGAAGUAGCUUCCAAAAUCCUAGCAGGAGAAACUGAAAUGGGGACUGGGAAGAACAGACUAGAGAGGCUAGGGAACGGAGAUGACGGGCCCUGUGUGGACAAGCUGAGCAUGUGGUGCACUGGGACAUCCAAGUGAAAGGCCCAGCAGAUGGCUGAUAUGCAGGCUGGGGAUCGGGUGCACCAUCAGUGAGCUGCUGGGACCUGGUGGGAGGAGCCCUGAGUAGACAGACAUAACCGAAGCGGUAGGGUGAGAGGUUUCUGGAGAGGGGGUGUAGAGUGAGGACAGAAGAGGAUCUACAGCCCCAAGGUCACUGGCUCUGAAGAGCCUGAGAAAGAGGCCACAGAGGAUUAGGUAGACAGGGAGAAACUGUGUGGACAGGGAAAUCCAGGCAGAGGACGUCAGGAGGGAGGGAGCAGGCUAGAAGGGGAAGGCCUAGGGUAGUAAAGGGCCUGAGAAGACCUACUGGACUUUGCCACAGGAAACUGGGGGACAGUAUUUCUGAAAUGAUGCAGGCUGAAGGUGGACUACAGCAGACCCAGAGUUUGAGAGUGAGGAAGGGGAAGCAAUGAAUGUAGGCAUUCUUGGGGAAAGAGGGUGUUGUUUGUUUUAAUGAGAGAUCUGAGCACAUCUGGGAAGGAAUCAGGUAGGGGAAGUUGAAAAUAAAGGACAAGAGGGGGUGAUAGAGUACCUCUUAUGACAUGUGACCCAAAACCAUUUGGCUAAAACUAAUCUACUUUGUCAUGAGAUGGAAUUAUUUAAAUGUCCAAAAAGGGGUUGAUUAGGUCAAAUAAAUGUCUAACAAUAUGGGAUUUAUUGCAAAAUAAUUUUCCAAUGAGAACUAAUUGGAACAAAACCUCUAACAAUAAAAUUUUUAAUGUUUA